This 3468-nucleotide long non-coding RNA is filed under the name Homo sapiens (human). Its description in RNAcentral is "HSALNT0335812". Lineage: Eukaryota; Metazoa; Chordata; Mammalia; Primates; Hominidae. The record is from RNAcentral.
CUUGCUGUGACUUUGUGACCAAAUACUUAAUGUUCUCAUAUCAUUAGUGCGCUCUGGCACUUUAUCAAAUCUGUAAUAUUGACUAACUACCAGUAAUUGCUGAUUUAUGGGCAAAGUUUUCUCAGUCUUGUUUUCUUCAGGACUCUAACAGACCUUCAUCUUCUGAAAACACGUUGAAUCAACACCAUACCAGAAACCUGGGAGCCAUCAUAAAUUCUUCUCCAUGUAUCCAACUCAUCACCAAGUCUUGGUAAUUUUGCCUCCUCAAUCCAGUCUUACUUCUUCAUCUCAGAUGCUUCUGCCCUAAUUCAAGCCCAGCUGCUCAAUGCCUGCUCCUCACACACUGGAGUGACCUUUUAAAAAUGUAAGUCACUCCACUCUUAAAGCCUUUCCUCAGCAUCCCUUCCCAUUUAGAACAAAAUCUAAACUCAUUCCUGUGGCCUAUAUGAUCAUUCCCUGUCCAUGUAAGUCUCCCACCCUCUCCUAGCACACUCCCUGGCUCACUCUGCUCCAGCCACACCAGCCUCCUUGCUCUUCCAGAGCUCUCCAAGCUCUUUCCCUCUUGGCACUCUGUGCUUGCUUUCACUCUGGAAUGCCCUCCCCUCUUCUUCACAAGACUAGUUCCCUCACAAUAUCUAGCUGUCUGCUCAACAUCAUCUCCUCAGAGGGAACCUCUCUGGCCAUUCAUCUUACCUAGCCCUCAUCCCCAGGCUAAUGCUGUCAUGCUUUAUUUUUUUUUUUUCAUAUCACUUAAUAUGAACUGGCAUCAUUGCUAAAAUUAUUUACACUAGAGUGUAACUCAAUAAGGACAGGGAUUUUCUCUGCCUUUGCACUGCCAUGUCUCCAGCACCUAAAAUAGUGCUUGGGGGCAUAAAUGGCACUCAACAAACACAGGUGGAAAAAAUACAUUGAAUGAACUAUUUCAACUAAUCUUUCCACCUGAAGUUACGAACCCCUCUAAUCCCUUCUUCAUGCUGCAGUCAAUACCCUGUCUAGGGAACAAAUAUGACUAUGUGUGUAAAUCCUAACUGAGAGCUCUUUGGCAUGUGACACAAGAUUCUUUGUGAACUGGCCUCUGGCUGCCCCUCUGGGCUCACCUCCUUCCACUACUCUGGACACUUGUUCUGCUUCAGUCACUCUGAUCUACCCGCCACCUCCGACAAGGCACAUUCUUAUAUUUUCCUAACUUUAAAAUAAAUGGAACUUUACUCUGUCAGGAAUAGUCCCCCAUCUAACAUAUUCCUAUUUAUCCUUCAGAACUCAAAGCAUCACCAUCCCCUCCUCUGUGAAGCUGUUUCUUGCUCUGUCCGCGCUCAUCCCUGCUAGUUGGUCAUUCUCUUCUUUAACCGUCUAGAACUUAGAACAUUGCUUUAAUAUUUCACCUGUCACAUCGAAUUGCAACCGUGUAUUUGCAUGUCUUGAGACAAGUACGCUGAGGGCAAGGAUGUGAGUGGCAUAACUGCAACACGUGGGAUAAUAUAUGGCACAUGCUGGGGGUUCAAUAAGGGUUAUUGAAUGAAUAAAUGAGUGAGUGCACAAUAGCAAAACCACUGGGACACUGAGUGCAAUGGGCUCGUCUUCUUUUAUGUCCUGGCUCGUUUCAGCUCCCUACCUCUAGACUGACCCAGUAUGGACAUUUUAAUCAUAUUGAUUCUUUCAACACACCAGCGUGGAAUGCUUUCCCAUUUGUUUGUGCCGUCUAUGAUUUCUUUCGGCAGCGUUUCGUAGUCCUCCUUGUAGACAUCUUUCACCUCCUUGGUUAAAUGCAUUUCUUUCUUUCUUUCUUUUUUGAGACGGAGUCCCCCUCUGUUUCUCAGGCUGGAGUGCAGUGGCGCGAUCUCAGCUCACUGCAAGCUCCGCCUCCCGGGUUCACGUCAUUCUGCCUCAGCCUCCCAAGUAGCUGGGACUACAGGCGCUCACCACCACGCCCGGCUAAUUUUUUUUUUUUUUUUUUUUUUUGAGACAGAGUCUCGCUCUGUCGCCCAGGCUGGAGUGCAGUGGCGUGGUCUCGGCUCACCGCAAGCUCUGCCUCCCGGGUUCAUGCCAUUCUCCUGCCUCAGCCACCCAAGUAGCUGGGACCACAGGCGCCUGCCACCAUGCCCAGCUAAUUUUUUUGUAUUUUUAGUAGAGACGGGGUUUCACCGUAGCCAGAAUGGUCUCAAUCUCCUGACCCCGUGAUCCGCCUGCCUCAGCCUCCCAAAGUGCUGGGAUUACAGGCAUGAGCCACAGUGCCCAGCCUGUUAAAUGUAUUUCUAGAUAUUUUAUUUUUGCAUGUGUGUGGCUAUAAUAGAUAGAAUUGGAUUCUUGAUUUUGUUCUCAGCUUGAAUGUUACUGGCGUUUAGAAAUGCUACUGCUUUUUGUACACUGAUUUUUGUAUCCUGAUUUUUGUAUCCUGAAACUUCUCUGUAGUCAUUUAGUAUGAGUCUUUGGAUGGAAUCUUUAGGGUUUUCUAGGUAUAUGAUUAUAUAGUCAACAUCCCUUCAUAACAAAAAUCCUCAACAAACUAGCAUCAAAGGAGCAUACUUCAAAAUACUAAAAGCCGUCUAUGACAACCCUACAGCCAACAUCAUACUGAACGGGCAAAACUGGAAGCAUUUGCCUUAAGAACUGGAACAAGACAAGUGGUGAGGUCCACUCUCAGAACUUUCAUUCAACAUAGUACUAUAACUCCUAGCCAGAGCAAUCAGGCAAGAGAAAGAAAUAAAACACAUCCAAUUAGGAGAAGUGGAAGUCAAAUUAUCCCUCUUUGCUAUAUGCGAUUCUGUACCUAGGAAAUACAAAUUGUUUUGAUAAUCUAGACCUAUUCGACAAAAAAUUUCUUUAUCUAAAGGUCCUUAGGAUACAAUGAUUCUAUUAAAAAUUAGUGAAGUUGUUUUCUGGAACCCAUUCUACUGCUGGGCAAACUCAAUCUUAAUUUUAUCUUUUCUAAAGCAUUAGUGACGAUUAACUUCAUUAGCAUAGGUAGUUGUGACUAUAUUUUUUAUCAAAAAUGCCUUAUAAAGAGAGACAGACGUAUCCAGUGGUGCUGAGAUGAAAGAGGCAUUAACUUAUGAUUGUUCUGUGAAAACAAAUCAUUUGACAGUAAUAUGUAUUGUAAUAGUUUGGAAGGUCAUUUAAAAUAAUUCAUUCACAUUCAACUAGAGAUAGAAAAUAACCUGGAAUAUAAGGCAAGUAAGAGCUCACUUAAAAAUUCGACACAAAUAUACAGUUAGAUAUAAGAAAUAGGUUCUAGUGUUUGAUAGGAGACUACAGUGACUAUACUUAACAGCAAUAUUUUGUAUAUUUCAAAGUAACUAGAAAGGAAACUUGAAAUGACACCAACGCAUGAAAAAUGAUAAACACUCAAGGUGAUGGAUACUCCAAAUAACCUGACUUGAUCACUAAAUUCUAUGCAGGUAACAAACACCCCCAUGAACCCAUAAAUACGUAAAUGAUUAUAUAUCAACAAAACAGAAAAAACAAAGAGCA